ACAACAGUUGGAAACGACUGCUAAUACCGCAUAAGCGCACAGUACCGCAUGGUACAGAGCGAAAAACUCCGGUGGUAUAGGAUGGGCCCGCGUCUGAUUAGCUAGUUGGAGGUGUAACGGACCACCAAGGCGACGAUCAGUAGCCGGCUUGAGAGAGUGAACGGCCACAUUGGGACUGAGACACGGCCCAAACUCCUACGGGAGGCAGCAGUGGGGAAUAUUGCACAAUGGGGGAAACCCUGAUGCAGCAACGCCGCGUGAGUGAAGAAGUAUUUCGGUAUGUAAAGCUCUAUCAGCAGGGAAGAAAAUGACGGUACCUGACUAAGAAGCCCCGGCUAACUACGUGCCAGCAGCCGCGGUAAUACGUAGGGGGCAAGCGUUAUCCGGAUUUACUGGGUGUAAAGGGAGCGCAGGCGGUCUGUCAAGUCUGAUGUGAAAUCCCGGGGCUCAACCCUGGAACUGCAUUGGAAACUGUCAGACUAGAGUGCCGGAGAGGUAAGUGGAAUUCCUAGUGUAGCGGUGAAAUGCGUAGAUAUUAGGAGGAACACCAGUGGCGAAGGCGGCUUACUGGACGGUAACUGACGCUGAGGCUCGAAAGCGUGGGGAGCAAACAGGAUUAGAUACCCUGGUAGUCCACGCCGUAAAC
RNAcentral lists this ribosomal RNA (646 nucleotides) under uncultured bacterium. RNAcentral describes it as "bacterial SSU rRNA". It matches the Rfam family "Bacterial small subunit ribosomal RNA", at positions 143 to 807 of the family's 1533-position model. The record is from RNAcentral.